Molecule: long non-coding RNA, 833 nt
Filed under: Homo sapiens (human)
Lineage: Eukaryota; Metazoa; Chordata; Mammalia; Primates; Hominidae
Description: non-protein coding lnc-HMX1-1:3
Source: RNAcentral
CUGCAUUUUACAUGACUGCGGGGCCUGUUCCUUGCGCCUGUCUGGUCGCGUCACAUCAUGGAGGGUUUCUCGGGGCGGCCGGCCGCCUCUGAGCACAGCCAGGGUGGUGUUUGCAGCACAGCUGCUGCCUAGGCCUCGCUGCGGAGGUGCUGGGCCACGGCCCCGUGGAGGCAGAGCCGCAGGGCCAUCGACAUGUCCUUUGAAAACGGGCAUUUCCCCAACUCAUGCAGGUGGAGGGGAGAGCGAAGCCAAAUGGGACACCGGCCCCCACACACUGCCCCGGCUCCUGCAUUUCCGGAGAUGGAAACCUGGAGAGCAGCUGGGAUCUUGAAAACGUGGGUUGGACUGCGUCACCCCGACCCCUGCCUCAAAGCCCCUCCGUGGUUGCCUACAGCACAGCUUGAAGCCCCUUGGUUCUGCUUCCCGGGCCUGCAGCGCUGGCCCCAGCCUGGCCGAGCGAGCAUUUGUUCACCCAAGACCUUUCCCCUCCUGCCCUCGUGGAGCCUCCACAAGGAGGUCCCUCAAAGCAUCAACUCUGUGCCUUGCAGACAGCGGACACGUAACACAGCCACGCGGCGUGAACAUGAGCAGACUUCUUUUUUCCAGGAUGUGCACGGUUUCCACGACAAUGCCCACUGCACGCCUUAUGGCCUCACCAGAGACGUAAAGCAGAUGCCAAGAAACUUCCCCCCAAAAUGGGCUGGCUUGCCAAGCCCAGGACCGCCUGUCCAGCUGGGGCUGGGGGCAAGGAUCCCAUUUUCUGUGACUCUCUUUGCUCUGAUGGUCAGGUUCACCGGCCGUACGUGUAAUCUGAAGCAUUCGGUAGCGAUCUA